RNAcentral lists this long non-coding RNA (445 nucleotides) under Carica papaya (papaya). RNAcentral's name for it is "long non-coding RNA (CPAP_LNC012926)". The record is from RNAcentral. Lineage: Eukaryota; Viridiplantae; Streptophyta; Magnoliopsida; Brassicales; Caricaceae.
UGAAAACCUGCCACGUGGCAAAACCUAUCUUAUGAAAUUAGGGGUUAAGAACUGGUCCCCUGAUUUAUCCCAAGCAAAGUGAAAGGUUUAUGGUAACCUGCUAUUGCCCGUACAUUAUUGCCCUUUUACUGGCUGGUCCCGUUUCGUGGUCAAUAACUAUAAUAAAUAGAAGGAUAAAUAGUUAUGUGUUACCGGGGGGUUUAACAAUUAUUAUUAAAGCUCUCUCAUUUUCUUUUUAAUCUUUUGGUGGUUUUUGUUUUUUUUUUUAAAGGAGAGGGGUUUUGGUUUGUUUGGCCCUGUUGUCCAUUUUAACGGAAGAUCAACCGAGAUUGAUUGAUUGGUUGAUGCAGAGAAAAAGAGAGGAGAUGAGAGAAGAGAGAGAAAAUAAAAACAGAGAAAUAUAAUUACUUAGAGAUUUGAAUUUAGUUUUCUUCUUGUGAAUCUN